RNAcentral lists this transfer RNA (87 nucleotides) under Minisyncoccota bacterium. RNAcentral describes it as "tRNA-Ser". It matches the Rfam family "tRNA". From Rfam's summary of the family: Transfer RNA (tRNA) molecules are approximately 80 nucleotides in length. Lineage: Bacteria; Bacillati; Minisyncoccota. The record is from RNAcentral.
GGAAACGUGGCUGAGUGGUUGAAGGCACCGCACUCGAAACGCGGCGUGGGAGCAAUCCCAUCGAGAGUUCGAAUCUCUCCGUUUCCG